GUGAAACUGCUAUUGCCGGCGGCUCCUGUUUUACCGCGUCAGCAUGCUGGUGCAUUUAUUUCGGGUCGGGAUUCGGGGUGGCCCAUUCCCAGGCAGGCUGCUACCGCCCCUCCGCUUCCAGACAUUCUCAGCUGUCAGAAACACAUGGCGUAAUGGGAAAACUGGACAGUUACACAAGGCAGAAGGAGAGUAAGCGUCUCUAUCUUUCUGAUAGAAACAAGAACACAGUGGAAAACAAGACAUAAAAACCUGGCAGUUGGAAUGGGGUGGGAGAAGGCCUCAUGUAGGCAAAAGGCACAGGCCUUCCUGAAAGCAGGGGAAGGAUGAGAUGAAGACUGCAAUUAGAAGGGUCUAGGGAUGUGAAAGGCCAUGAUGGUAAAGAGAAAAGCUCACACUACUCUUUUUUUAAACCUUUCCCCAUCAGUAAGCUUAUCUAGAUCUUCUAGAUCUCACCAUCCUCUCCUGGCUGGAUAACUUCUGCUCCCUACAACCAGUCCUGUCUGCCUCCAGCCCAUGCCCCUCUG
This 524-nucleotide small RNA is filed under the name Pan troglodytes (chimpanzee). RNAcentral describes it as "processed transcript". Lineage: Eukaryota; Metazoa; Chordata; Mammalia; Primates; Hominidae. The record is from RNAcentral.